Molecule: ribosomal RNA, 1218 nt
Filed under: metagenome
Description: bacterial SSU rRNA
Rfam family: Bacterial small subunit ribosomal RNA
Source: RNAcentral
AGAGUUUGAUCCUGGCUCAGGAUGAACGCUAGCGGCAGGCUUAACACAUGCAAGUCGAGGGGUAACGAUGGCUUCGGCCAGGCGACGACCGGCGCACGGGUGCGUAACGCGUAUGCAAUCUACCUUUAACUGAAGCAUAGCCCGAAGAAAUUCGGAUUAAUACUUCAUAAUAUCCUAAUUUCGCAUGUUUUUAGGAUUAAAGCUCCGGCGGUUAAAGAUGAGCAUGCGUGCCAUUAGUUAGUUGGUGAGGUAAUGGCUCACCAAGGCUGCGAUGGCUAGGGGGUCUGAGAGGAUGAUCCCCCACACUGGUACUGAGACACGGACCAGACUCCUACGGGAGGCAGCAGUGAGGAAUAUUGGUCAAUGGGCGCAAGCCUGAACCAGCCAUGCCGCGUGCAGGAUGAAUGCCCUACGGGUUGUAAACUGCUUUUCUACAGGAAGAACUUUCGAACGUGUUCGGAACUGACGGUACUGUAGGAAUAAGCAUCGGCUAACUCCGUGCCAGCAGCCACGGUAAUACGGAGGAUGCAAGCGUUAUCCGGAUUUAUUGGGUUUAAAGGGUGCGUAGGCGGAAUAAUAAGUCAGUGGUGAAAUCCUGCGGCUCAACCGUAGAACUGCCAUUGAUACUGUUAUUCUUGAGUACAGUUGAGGUGGGCGGAAUGUGUAAUGUAGCGGUGAAAUGCUUAGAUAUUACACAGAACGCCAAUUGCGAAGGCAGCUCACUAAGCUGUUACUGACGCUGAGGCACGAAAGCGUGGGAGCGAACAGGAUUAGAUACCCUGGUAGUCCACGCUGUAAACGAUGAUCACUCGUUGUUGGCGAUACACUGUCAGCGACUGAGCUAAAGCAUUAAGUGAUCCACCUGGGGAGUACGGUCGCAAGAUUGAAACUCAAAGGAAUUGACGGGGGCCCGCACAAGCGGAGGAACAUGUGGUUUAAUUCGAUGAUACGCGAGGAACCUUACCUGGGCUUAAAUGCAGGACGACAGACCGGGAAACCGGUCCUUCUUCGGACGGCUUGCAAGGUGCUGCAUAGUUGUCGUCAGCUCGUGCCGUGAGGUGUCGGGUUAAGUCCCAUAACGAGCGCAACCCCUAUUGUUAGUUACCAGCGGAUAAUGCCGGGGACUCUAACGAAACUGCCGGUGUAAACCGAGAGGAAGGUGGGGAUGACGUCAAAUCAGCACGGCCCUUAUGUCCAGGGCUACACACGUGUUACAAU